ACUACGGGGGGCAGCAGUGGGGAAUAUUGGGCAAUGGAGGCAACUCUGACCCAGCAAUGCCGCGUGAGUGAUGAAGGCAAUCUUAUUGUAAAGCUCUUUUCUUUGGAACGAAUAAAUGACGGUACCAAAGGAAUAAGCCCCGGCUAACUACGUGCCAGCAGCCGCGGUAAUACGUAGGGGGCAAGCGUGGCUCGGAAUGACUUGGGGUUAAGGGUUUGUAGGUGGUUUGGUAGGUUAAGUGUGUAAUACCCAGGGCUUAACUCGGGUGUUGCAUCUAAAACUGUUAGACUUGAGUACUGGAGAGGUAAGUGGAAUUCCUGGUGUAGCGGUGGAAUGCGUAGAGAUGAGGAGGAAC
This 355-nucleotide ribosomal RNA is filed under the name uncultured bacterium. RNAcentral describes it as "partial 16S ribosomal RNA". It matches the Rfam family "Bacterial small subunit ribosomal RNA", at positions 338 to 707 of the family's 1533-position model. The record is from RNAcentral.